This 321-nucleotide long non-coding RNA is filed under the name Vigna radiata. RNAcentral describes it as "long non-coding RNA (VRAD_LNC017070)". The record is from RNAcentral. Lineage: Eukaryota; Viridiplantae; Streptophyta; Magnoliopsida; Fabales; Fabaceae.
UGGCGUUUCACUCACCUUUCAAAACCACCAUUGCUCUUUCUCUCUUAGUUUUUCUCUCUCUCUUUUUCACUUCUUCCCAUUCUGCCCUCACCUGCGCCUCCUAUAAGCUUCCGGCAAACCGCACCUACGCCAACUGCACCGCCCUCCCCACCCUCGGCGCCAUCCUCCACUACACCUUCAACGCCACAAACCGCACCCUCGCCAUCGCGUACGCCGCAGAGCCACCCAAAUCUGGGUGGGUGGCCUGGGGGCUCAACCUCGCCGGUGGCGGCAUGAUCGGCACGCAGGCCUUCAUUGCGAUCCCCGCCUCCGCCGGCGGCA